ACGGUAACAGGAAACAGCUUGCUGUUUUUGCUGACGAGUGGCGGACGGGUGAGUAAUGUCUGGGAAACUGCCUGAUGGAGGGGGAUAACUACUGGAAACGGUAGCUAAUACCGCAUAACGUCGCAAGACCAAAGAGGGGGACCUUCGGGCCUCUUGCCAUCGGAUGUGCCCAGAUGGGAUUAGCUAGUAGGUGGGGUAACGGCUCACCUAGGCGACGAUCCCUAGCUGGUCUGAGAGGAUGACCAGCCACACUGGAACUGAGACACGGUCCAGACUCCUACGGGAGGCAGCAGUGGGGAAUAUUGCACAAUGGGCGCAAGCCUGAUGCAGCCAUGCCGCGUGUAUGAAGAAGGCCUUCGGGUUGUAAAGUACUUUCAGCGGGGAGGAAGGGA
This 392-nucleotide ribosomal RNA is filed under the name Escherichia coli. RNAcentral describes it as "bacterial SSU rRNA". It matches the Rfam family "Bacterial small subunit ribosomal RNA", at positions 66 to 453 of the family's 1533-position model. Lineage: Bacteria; Pseudomonadati; Pseudomonadota; Gammaproteobacteria; Enterobacterales; Enterobacteriaceae. The record is from RNAcentral.